RNAcentral lists this ribosomal RNA (154 nucleotides) under Mucor endophyticus. RNAcentral's name for it is "5.8S ribosomal RNA". It matches the Rfam family "5.8S ribosomal RNA". From Rfam's summary of the family: 5.8S ribosomal RNA (5.8S rRNA) is a component of the large subunit of the eukaryotic ribosome. It is transcribed by RNA polymerase I as part of the 45S precursor that also contains 18S and 28S rRNA. Lineage: Eukaryota; Fungi; Mucoromycota; Mucoromycetes; Mucorales; Mucoraceae. The record is from RNAcentral.
ACAACUUUUAACAACGGAUCUCUUGGUUCUCGCAUCGAUGAAGAACGUAGCAAAGUGCGAUAACUAGUGUGAAUUGCAUAUUCAGUGAAUCAUCGAGUCUUUGAACGCAUCUUGCGCUCAAUGGUAUUCCAUUGAGCACGCCUGUUUCAGUAUC